GAUGAACGCUGGCGGCGUGCCUAAUACAUGCAAGUCGAGCGAACAGACGAGGAGCUUGCUCCUCUGACGUUAGCGGCGGACGGGUGAGUAACACGUGGAUAACCUACCUAUAAGACUGGGAUAACUUCGGGAAACCGGAGCUAAUACCGGAUAAUAUAUUGAACCGCAUGGUUCAAUAGUGAAAGACGGUUUUGCUGUCACUUAUAGAUGGAUCCGCGCCGCAUUAGCUAGUUGGUAAGGUAACGGCUUACCAAGGCAACGAUGCGUAGCCGACCUGAGAGGGGGGCGGCCCACCGGGAAGGUGCAACCGGCUCCAGCCCCCCGCGGGGGGCACAGGGAGGGAUUCUCCCGCAAGGGGAGAAGGCCGGACGGACAACCGCGGGGGGAGGGAGAAGGGUUUCCGAUUCUAAAACCUUUUUUAUGGGGGAAAAAAAAAUGUGUAAGAACCUAUGCACUUCUGGACGUUCCCUAACAAGAAAGCCAGGGCAACCUCCGGC
RNAcentral lists this ribosomal RNA (497 nucleotides) under uncultured bacterium. RNAcentral describes it as "partial 16S ribosomal RNA". It matches the Rfam family "Bacterial small subunit ribosomal RNA", at positions 28 to 508 of the family's 1533-position model. The record is from RNAcentral.